UACGGAGGGUGCAAGCGUUAAUCGGAAUUACUGGGCGUAAAGCGCACGCAGGCGGUUGGAUAAGUUAGAUGUGAAAGCCCCGGGCUCAACCUGGGAAUUGCAUUUAAAACUGUUCGGCUAGAGGCUUGUAGAGGGGGGUAGAAUUCCAGGUGUAGCGGUGAAAUGCGUAGAGAUCUGGAGGAAUACCGGUGGCGAAGGCGGCCCCCUGGACAAAGACUGACGCUCAGGUGCGAAAGCGUGGGGAGCAAACAGG
RNAcentral lists this ribosomal RNA (253 nucleotides) under uncultured bacterium. RNAcentral describes it as "partial 16S ribosomal RNA". It matches the Rfam family "Bacterial small subunit ribosomal RNA", at positions 524 to 776 of the family's 1533-position model. The record is from RNAcentral.